Molecule: unclassified non-coding RNA, 392 nt
Filed under: soil metagenome
Description: partial contains 5.8S ribosomal RNA, internal transcribed spacer 2, and large subunit ribosomal RNA
Rfam family: 5.8S ribosomal RNA (bases 1-122)
Source: RNAcentral
GAUGAAGAACGCAGAGAAAUGCGAUACUUGGUGUGAAUUGCAGAAUCCCGUGAACCAUCGAGUCUUUGAACGCAAGUUGCGCCCGAGGCCAUUAGGCCGAGGGCACGCCUGCCUGGGCGUCACACGUCGUUGCCCCCCCCAUCUACUCCUUCGGGAUUGCGGGGGGCGGAUGAUGGCCUCCCGUGCGCCUCGCCGCGCGGUUGGCAUAAAUGCCAAGUCCUCGGCGAUGCACGCCACGACAAUCGGUGGUUGCGAAACCUCGGUUGCCCGUCGUGUGCGGUCGUCGCGCAUCGAGGGCUCGAAAAAAUUGCCGGGUUCCGGCUCGGCUUUCAACGCGACCCCAGGUCAGGCGGGGUUACCCGCUGAAUUUAAGCAUAUCAAUAAGCGGAGGA